This is a long non-coding RNA of Gossypium arboreum, 324 nucleotides long. RefSeq lists it as uncharacterized. NCBI's taxonomy places the organism in Eukaryota, Viridiplantae, Streptophyta, Magnoliopsida, Malvales, Malvaceae. The transcript has 2 exons. The record is from RefSeq and is a predicted model, not a curated record.
AUUAUUACUUAUGUUGUUCUUUCCAAACCAAAACCACCAUUUUCAAGACAUGGGAGGUUCGGCCAAGCUUAGCCCGUCGAUUUGAUGAAUUACGUUUUUGUGGAUUUGGAAGAUUAGAGUAACGCAAGAAAUCACACUAUCCAGGAAUCUUUGGUAUACUUUGAUUUUGGUUUGAUAUAUAUGACAUGUAAUAGGGCCAUUUUGGAUUUGUUAUAUUGGUAUUUAGUUUUGUGCAAGUUUACACGUUAGCUUGUGUUGUUAUGUUUGAUUAACUGUGGAAAUACGCAUGCUUUAUUUAAGUUGAAUUAUGAUAUGAAAUGAAAA